Podarcis lilfordi (Lilford's wall lizard) is the source of this 76-nucleotide non-coding RNA. The record is from the annotation of a GenBank genome assembly. NCBI's taxonomy places the organism in Eukaryota, Metazoa, Chordata, Lepidosauria, Squamata, Lacertidae.
UGAGGGAUAGUUCAGUUGGUAGAGCAUAAGACUCUUAAUCUCAGGGUCCUGCAUUUGAGCCCCACGCUGGGCAAAA